Equus quagga is the source of this 1596-nucleotide long non-coding RNA. RefSeq lists it as uncharacterized. The record is from RefSeq and is a predicted model, not a curated record. NCBI's taxonomy places the organism in Eukaryota, Metazoa, Chordata, Mammalia, Perissodactyla, Equidae. The transcript has 3 exons.
GGAGGGCUCUGUCUCCCCUGUGCCUGGCCCGGUCACGGCGAGACCGACUCCGUAGACUGGGUGGAGGGACAGGUGGACAAUUCAGUUUAAACCCCGAGAAGGUGCCCUAGAAGGCCGGCGGGAACAGCUGGUACCUGCUUUAGCGUCAGCGUCGCUGGGGACCCAACGCUGCUGGAAGAUUUAACUGCCUGCUCCCCAUACAGCGUUUUGGCCAAUGAAAUGCCAGCAUGUUGCAGCUCACCCUCCAUGGACAUGAACACAGUGAGAAAUAAACCCUCACUGUAGUAAGCCACUUGAAUCUUGGGGCCGUUGGCAUAGUAUGCACUAGUGACAGCUGGCUGAUCCAGCACAUAAGAUCACGCACCGAGCACACCUUUUACAUUCCUCUGUUGCAUUCCAUCAAGAAUGGUCAAAAAUUACAUCAAUGGUGGGAAAUUUUUUUUAAUAGUUCUUAGAAUAUAAGCUGCAUAGCUUUUUAGAAUAAAAAAGGAUGACGUGACAGAACCUCAGGUACAUGCUUUAGGACACUUGGUUAAGUAACAAGCAGUCUGUGUCUUUGAUGACCACCUCAAAAGGGUGGCAAACUUCACAGUGUAACUUGAUAACAGAUGUGGAGACAGACAAUUACAUCAUGGCCUGUGGUCUACAAAAGAACAUUCUGACAGAACUUAAAGAGAACACAGCACACGGUUUCAAGUAUUCAAGCACUGCUUUCUGGGAAAGUAAAAACUGCCUAAAAACCGUUGAUGUAUUUUGACUGGACGAAAAAUAAAAUAGAUGUAGCUACUUAGUUCUUUUGGACACAGCAUUUCUUUCCCAGAGUAAGACUGGCUCAGUCCAGCUUGAAAGCAGUGUGAAGAAUGAUUCUUCCUCUUAACUGUUAAGAAAAAAAAUGAACUAAAGAAAUAAAUUACUACAACAACAAGGACUGUGGCACUGAGAGAAUGAAAUAAACAGGGGAAAUCAUCUUUCCAUCAUUGCAUAGUCUCCCGAAGCAGCAAAUGUGAAGAAGGACACUGAAAGCCACUUCAUUUUUAUACAGCACAAGGAUCACUGUUCUCAUUACCUGGGCUCCCCCAAUGUCUGGUGUCAGGUUGCUUUGUGAGAACACACACACCACAAGCUUCCUGCCCUUGAAGAGAAUGUGGUUCCUUUCACAUGAAGCACAUUAAGAAAACACACACUCAGACAUUUUAGAAAACGGCAGCUGUCUCAGGCACUUGACAGCUUUUGCAUACACACUGGGGGCUUGGCAAGGCAGAGCCUUAGAGCAGGGUCAAAGGGCAGCUCCCUUUACUCCUUUGUCCACAGAACUGGCGUGCGCCUGGCAGCCUCUCCUCAAGGCAGGCGUCCAGCGUCCCUGUGAGGGGAAGCAGGCGGUGUGGCCCCUAGGGGGAGGUGUGGCCUCUUCCCAGGGCUGGACUUUCAAGACAGGGUGGACGGGCAGCCCUCACCCAGGGACGAGACCAUUCACCCGCUGCUCCUUCGCUGCCCCAGGUUUGCUACAAGAACUGCAGCCCAGGCAAAGCAGGAGCCUGAGAGCUUUCUCCAGGCUCUGAAAUCAUAUUGUAAAAUAAAAUAUACAUUGCAAUAAAA